UAUAUUAUGAAAUUUGGACGAUU
RNAcentral lists this unclassified non-coding RNA (23 nucleotides) under Dictyostelium discoideum. The record is from RNAcentral. Lineage: Eukaryota; Evosea; Eumycetozoa; Dictyosteliales; Dictyosteliaceae.